AAUUAAAUUAGUAUUUGACUUUUUAAUUUUUAAAGAGAUGAAUUAAUUUACUCUUUAAAUUUUAUUUCUAAUGGCAUACCUAUGUAAUUACUUACAAAAAAUAAGGUUACAUUUAAAAUGUACUUCCCAAAUAAUAUAGUAGGAUUAUUCACUAUCUAUAUUCAGAGUUUUCUAAAAGUUCAAAAACUCAAAUCUAGAUUAUGGUAUAAUGUCAGUUCUAAACGAAGAUUACGC
RNAcentral lists this small RNA (234 nucleotides) under Arabidopsis thaliana (thale cress). RNAcentral's name for it is "ATSL047710". The record is from RNAcentral. Lineage: Eukaryota; Viridiplantae; Streptophyta; Magnoliopsida; Brassicales; Brassicaceae.